CAGCAGCCGCGGGAAUACAGAGGGUGCGAGCGUUAAUCGGAUUUACUGGGCGUAAAGCGUGCGUAGGCGGCUAAUUGAGUCGGAUGUGAAAUCCCUGAGCUUAACUUAGGAAUUGCAUUCGAUACUGGGAAGCUAGAGUAUGGGAGAGGAUGGUAGAAUUCCAGGUGUAGCGGUGAAAUGCGUAGAGAUCUGGAGGAAUACCGAUGGCGAAGGCAGCCAUCUGGCCUAAUACUGACGCUGAGGUACGAAAGCAUGGGGAGCAAACAGGAUUAGAGACCCCAGUAGUCCCUGUCUCUUAUAC
This 301-nucleotide ribosomal RNA is filed under the name uncultured bacterium. RNAcentral's name for it is "partial 16S ribosomal RNA". It matches the Rfam family "Bacterial small subunit ribosomal RNA", at positions 509 to 807 of the family's 1533-position model. The record is from RNAcentral.